GUCCACACAGUAAACGAUGAAUACUCGCGGUUGGUUCGUUAGAGUCAGCCGCCAAGCGAAAGCGUUAAGUAUUCCACCUGGGGAGUACGCCGGCAACUGUGAAACUCAAAGGAAUUGACGGGGGCCCGCACAAGCGGAGGAACAUGUGGUUUAAUUCGAUGAUACGCGAGGAACCUUACCCGGGCUUGAACUGCCAGUGACUCAUGCAGAGACGCAUGUUUCUUCGGACACUGGCGGAGGUGCUGCAUGGUUGUCGU
Molecule: ribosomal RNA, 257 nt
Filed under: uncultured bacterium
Lineage: Bacteria
Description: partial 16S ribosomal RNA
Rfam family: Bacterial small subunit ribosomal RNA
Source: RNAcentral